Molecule: ribosomal RNA, 500 nt
Filed under: uncultured KB1 group bacterium
Lineage: Bacteria; Candidatus Calescibacteriota
Description: bacterial SSU rRNA
Rfam family: Bacterial small subunit ribosomal RNA
Source: RNAcentral
UUCCUACGGGAGGAGCAGUGGGGAAUCUUGCGCAAUGGUCGUAAGGCUGACGCAGCGACGCCGCGUGGAGGACGAAGGCCUUCGGGUUGUAAACUCCUUUUCUGGGGGACGAAUAAGGUGGGCAGGCAAUGGUCCACCGAUGACGGUACCCCAGGAACAAGCGCCGGCUAACUUCGUGCCAGCAGCCGCGGUAAAACGAAGGGCGCAAGCGUUAUCCGGAAUUACUGGGCGUAAAGGGCGUCUAGGCGGCCAAUCAAGUCAACGUUGAAAGCCCUUGGCUAAACUGAGGGAUGUACGUCGAAACUGAUUGGCUCGAGGAAUGUAGAGGAAGGCGGAACUCUCGGAGUAGCGGUGAAAUGCGUAGAGACCGAGAGGUACCCCGAUGGUGAAGACAGCCUUCUGGGCGUUUCCUGACGCUGAAGCGCUAAGGCCAGGGGAGCGAAGGGGAUUAGAUACCCCCGUAGUCCUGGCUUCAAACGAUGUGGGCUUGGUGUCGGCUC